RNAcentral lists this long non-coding RNA (1519 nucleotides) under Chrysemys picta bellii (western painted turtle). RNAcentral describes it as "lncRNA (ENSCPBG00000003943.1)". Lineage: Eukaryota; Metazoa; Chordata; Testudines; Emydidae. The record is from RNAcentral.
CUUGCCCCAGCUCGGCGGGGCCCUGCCCCUCGCCAGGGGAGCCGGACCCGGGGGAAGGAAGGGGCGAGAGCGAGCGAGCUGCUGAGCGCAGGGCCUGGCCCCGUGCCACGGGGCGGAGCAGCGGCGAGCCCCGAGCGCGUUAAAAGCCCCUUUGGCGGAGCAGCGCAGCAAACCCUCCGCGCAAGGGAGGCAACCGCGGCGUCUGCAGCCUCCGGUCCGCGGGAACGCGGCUCUCCAGGCCCGGCGGGAACUGGCGGGACGGGACGGGAGCGCCUGGCUGAAUGCGGCGGCCCCCCCGGGCGCUCUGAGACCCGCAAGAUGAGCGCUGCUCUGCCCAGCCUGCUGGCCUGGCUGGCGGUGCUGCUGCUCGGGAGGGCGGCGCGCCCGGCCGACGCCUGCAGCUGCUCCCCGGUGCACCCGCAGCAGGCCUUCUGCAACGCCGACCUGGCCUCCAACUCCCGCGGAGCCCUUCCCAGGGCAGGAGCUGCUGGUGUCCCAUCUCUGCCCAGCAAGUGCUGAGCCAGCCUGUGCCCGUGCGAGCUGGACGGGGCCUGCUCGGUCACAGCCCGCUGGCUCUGGCGCGAGACCGGAACAGACGCCUGCUGUCCUCCUCGUGUGCCGUGUGCCAUCUGCCUCUGCCGCUCGGGCCAUUCGCCUUUCAGCUGAGAAUCCUUUCUGCUUCAGCUGUUGCCAUCACCCCUGCCACCUAGCUACCGGUGGGUGCCCUCCCUGAGCUCCCUGCUCCCUCCAGCCUGUGGGACCAGACACACGCGGCCUAAAGUGGGGCCUCCUGACUUACCUCCUCUUUCACCACCUUGCAGUUAUCAAAUUCAGUGCACAUUUUAUGGUUCCCUGCAGUAAUGCCUUUAAGCCUCGUCGUCCUCCAGGCCUGGCUGGAUUGGCCUGCUGGUGUGUGGGAGGCUGCGUAGACGAAGCUUAAACAGCAACGCACCCGAUAGUGACAUCUUGUAGCUCUCUCCGGACCCAGCGCCAGCCUCAAACCGAACUUGAGCUUCUCCGGGUUUGUGGCCUCAGGGCUUCUGCCUGUUUAAUUGGAGGUGGGGCUGGGUGGGAGAGGGUGUGUCAGUCCGUGCUGCCAGGGGUGUGCCUGUCUGGUAGGGUGAGAAUCCCCAAGGCCAUUCUCGCUCUCUGGGUUCUGAAUCCAUCAGCGGGGACGGGAGGAAGAUCCUCCUCGAAGUCUGAGCUUUGUUCUCUGUGUCCCCCGCGCUCAGCCUGGGCAGUGGGCCUGUGGCGGGCGAGCACCAGGCACAAACGGAGCUGUCUGUUCUGGUGGUUUGGCUCCAUACAGCUGAGCCCCUAAUGACAAAAACUAGCAUUGCACAUUGCCAUCUUGAUUGACUCAAGCUAGCGGUGACGCCCUGGGGAAGGCGAGAGCUUUGUCAGUGCUGUUGCUGAUUGGAUGCUGUGUCCGAAGGGUCCGGUUGGGAAUGCUGAGCAGAGAGCCGGGCCCUGCCCUGGGGAGUGGGCCGUGUUGGGUUGGGUCACCUUCUGUCUGUUC